This 468-nucleotide ribosomal RNA is filed under the name uncultured bacterium. RNAcentral's name for it is "partial 16S ribosomal RNA". It matches the Rfam family "Bacterial small subunit ribosomal RNA", at positions 28 to 507 of the family's 1533-position model. The record is from RNAcentral.
GACGAACGCUGGCGGCGUGCUUAACACAUGCAAGUCGAACGGAAAGGCCCUGCGGUUGUGGGGUGCCCGAGGGGCGAACGGGUGAGUAACACGCGAGUAACCUGGCCUUGACUUGGGGAUAACUUCAGGAAACGGGGGCGAAUACCGGAUAGGAGCUCCUGCUGCAUGGGGGGGGUUGGAAAGUUUCGGCGGUUGGGGAUGGACUCGCGGCUUAUCAGCUUGUUGGUGGGGUAGGGGCUUACCAAGGCUUUGACAGGUAGCCGGCCUGAGAGGGUGACCGGCCCCAUUGGGCCUGAGCUACGGCCCGGCCUCCUACGGGAGGCAGCGGUGGGGAAGAUUACACAAUGGGCGGAGGCCUGAUGCAGCACCGCCGCGUGCGGUAUGUCAGCCUUCGGGUUGUAUACCGAUUUCGCCUGUGACGAAGCGUGAGUGACGGUAAUGGGUAAAGAAGCACCGGCUAACUACGUG